This 416-nucleotide unclassified non-coding RNA is filed under the name soil metagenome. RNAcentral describes it as "partial contains 5.8S ribosomal RNA, internal transcribed spacer 2, and large subunit ribosomal RNA". The stretch from base 1 to 120 matches the Rfam family "5.8S ribosomal RNA", at positions 35 to 154 of the family's 154-position model. The record is from RNAcentral.
GAUGAAGAACGCAGUGAAAUGCGAUAAGUAAUGUGAAUUGCAGAAUUCAGUGAAUCAUCGAAUCUUUGAACGCACCUUGCACUCCUUGGUAUUCCGAGGAGUACGCCUGUUCGAGUGUUAUGAAGCUCUCAAAACGCAAUUGGCUUAAAACCUGAUUGUUGUUUUGGAUUUGAACUUUGCCGUGUUAUAACGGCUGGUUUUAAAAGUAUUAGCUGGUACUAGAACGAAUUGGUUCUACUCAACGUGAUAAUUAUCUGAUCGUUGAGGACAUUCCUUUCACGAGGAAUGGCCAUAGUAAAUUCAAUGGACUGCUUCUAAUCUGGCUUUAAUUCUUUAUUGGAUUAACCACUUUUCAAAUCUGACCUCGAAUCAGGUGGGACUACCCGCUGAACUUAAGCAUAUCAAUCAGCGGAGGA